CGCGGGAUAGUCUAAUGGUAAGAUACCGGGCUCAUAACCCGGGGACAGGUAAUGCUAGUGACGGUCCGACUCCGUCUCCCGCUA
RNAcentral lists this transfer RNA (84 nucleotides) under Methanobrevibacter sp. RNAcentral describes it as "tRNA-Met". It matches the Rfam family "tRNA". From Rfam's summary of the family: Transfer RNA (tRNA) molecules are approximately 80 nucleotides in length. Lineage: Archaea; Methanobacteriati; Methanobacteriota; Methanobacteria; Methanobacteriales; Methanobacteriaceae. The record is from RNAcentral.